GCUGGCGGCGUGCCUAACACAUGCAAGUCGUACGAGAAAUCCCGAGCUUGCUUGGGAGAGUAAAGUGGCGCACGGGUGAGUAACGCGUGGGUAACCCACCUUCGAAUCUGGGAUAACUCCGCGAAAGCGGUGCUAAUACCGGAUAAGACCACAGCCGCUUCGGCGGCAGAGGUUAAAGCUGACCUCUCCAUGGAAGUUAGCGUUCGAGGACGGGCCCGCGUCCUAUCAGCUUGUUGGUGGGGUAAUGGCCUACCAAGGCAGCGACGGGUAGCUGGUCUGAGAGGAUGAUCAGCCACACUGGAACUGGAACACGGUCCAGACUCCUACGGGAGGCAGCAGUGAGGAAUUUUGCGCAAUGGGGGAAACCCUGACGCA
This 375-nucleotide ribosomal RNA is filed under the name uncultured Pseudomonadota bacterium. RNAcentral describes it as "bacterial SSU rRNA". It matches the Rfam family "Bacterial small subunit ribosomal RNA", at positions 35 to 390 of the family's 1533-position model. The record is from RNAcentral. Lineage: Bacteria; Pseudomonadati; Pseudomonadota.